This 445-nucleotide ribosomal RNA is filed under the name uncultured bacterium. RNAcentral describes it as "partial 16S ribosomal RNA". It matches the Rfam family "Bacterial small subunit ribosomal RNA", at positions 354 to 796 of the family's 1533-position model. The record is from RNAcentral.
GUGAGGAAUAUUGGACAAUGGGCGCAAGCCUGAUCCAGCCAUGCCGCGUGCAGGAAGACGCAUCUAUGGUGUGUAAACUGCUUUUGUACGGGAAGAAACACUCCCUCGUGAGGGAGCUUGACGGUACCGUAAGAAUAAGGAUCGGCUAACUCCGUGCCAGCAGCCGCGGUAAUACGGAGGAUCCAAGCGUUAUCCGGAAUCAUUGGGUUUAAAGGGUCCGUAGGCGGUUUAAUAAGUCAGUGGUGAAAGCGCAUCGCUCAACGAUGGAACGGCCAUUGAUACUGUUAGACUUGAAUUACAAGGAAGUAACUAGAAUAUGUAGUGUAGCGGUGAAAUGCUUAGAUAUUACAUGGAAUACCAAUUGCGAAGGCAGGUUACUACUUGUGGAUUGACGCUGAUGGACGAAAGCGUGGGGAGCGAACAGGAUUAGAAACCCGGGUAGUCC